AACUUGGGAGUCCAUUACCACAGGCUGUGGUGUUGGCUACCGGCUUCGAUGCUUUCAAAGAAAAGGCUUGGACCAGUUCGUGGCAGCCACGGCUACCAAUGGCUAGUAGCCCNGGUGGCAGGAGGAGGGGGCCAGCUGCUGGGAGAUUGCGGGCCGGGCAAGCAGUGUGCUCGUGGCCUGCUGGUGGGCUCCUUUGUGUGACCAAUUGGCCACUGUGUUGAGCAUCCUGCUGGACUGGAUGGGCCAGGGGUCCGAUUUCGUGGCGCCUCUCUUCUGAUCUCCCCCUAUUCAGGGGUAUCAAUGGCUCUUAGCUCCCAUGGCCGGAGGAGGCCGUUUCCCUCNGAAGGCCGGUUGUUGAGAGACCGAGAGCAGAGCAAGCUGCGCGUUCGGGUCCUGCUGGCGGGCUUCCCUGCUUGGCCACUGGGAGGGCCGGUUGCCGCUGCGCUCGACGGGCUGUGGGUCCGACCCAGGGAAGCGGCAGCCCGAGCCGGGGCGUGCGCCGCUGGAUUCUCUCCCCUAGGGGUCGUCGGGAGCAGCGAAGCGGAAAAGCGCUGGACGGCGCCGGGCUGAGCGGAGGCGCGGAGGCGCUGCCAAAGCGGAGCUCGCUCACUCGCUCGCUCGCCACGCCUGGUCCCACCUCGCGCUGCCGCGCUGCCGCGCCGCCGUUGCCUUCGCCGCCGCUGGGUUGCUCGAAGGAGCCGUCUGGGCCAGAUGCCGCGACGGACGCCCCAGGAGUUCCGCCGCCCGGCGUAGUGUCUGUGGAAGGGCUGAGGGAGACGGGCUUCUCGGCGACGCGCCUCCGGACCUUUGCUUGGGGGUUUCCUGUCUCCCCACAGGAAUCACAGGGGGCCACGAGGCUGUGUUUCCACUGGACAUCAUCUUCAUCCCACAGGGGGGGCCCAUUCGGCGGCCCNUGCCGAGACGACAGCCAUGCCGGAUCCGUCCCUGAGCGAUCCGUGGGGGGCNGUAGGCUACUGAAGAGCCUGCAUUUCCACCGGGCAUCAUCGUUCUGCAAGGGGCCCACCNGGUGA
Molecule: long non-coding RNA, 1031 nt
Filed under: Salvator merianae (Argentine black and white tegu)
Lineage: Eukaryota; Metazoa; Chordata; Lepidosauria; Squamata; Teiidae
Description: lncRNA (ENSSMRG00000013984.1)
Source: RNAcentral